This 1164-nucleotide long non-coding RNA is filed under the name Anser cygnoides (Swan goose). RNAcentral describes it as "lncRNA (ENSACDG00005001923.1)". Lineage: Eukaryota; Metazoa; Chordata; Aves; Anseriformes; Anatidae. The record is from RNAcentral.
AUGUCUCUGGAAAGCCCCUCUUGCUGUAAGGCUGAGCCUCCCGGCUGUGACCCGCGGGGUUUGGGGUUGGGGCGAGCAGUGGGAGCCUGUGGCUGGGGCUGCGGGCAGUGCAGCAAGGCUGCCGUGGGGAUGCGGUACCCGGGGGGUGCCAGCACAUGGGGACCCCUGCAGCGCUGGGGUGCUGAGAGCACCUGGAGAGGGGCUCCGGCAUCGGGCACGGCUCGGGGCAAUGCUUCACCUAACCGCAGCCAAACUGGGAGAAAGCAGCCGGCCUUCCCCGUAUGGUACAGCGGGGUGCCUGGGGUGACCCCCUGCCCUCUCCCCGUGCCCCAGGCUGGCGAACAAGCAGGACGUGGCGGCCGCCCUGCUGCCCUGCGAGCUGAUCGAGCGCCUGGCGCUGGAGCGGCUGGUCAACGAGAACCGCUCGCCCUGCCGCAUCGUGAGUUGCAGGCAGGCUGCCCGACCCUGCUCCCCUUGCCAGGCACCGGGGGGUCGCGGGGGCUGACCGAGCCCCCCCCCCCUUAUCCCCAGGAGCCGUGUGCGGCCGCCGGCCCGGCCCGCAGCACCCUGCAGGGGCUGCGCUGGCUCCUGCGUGCCGCUGCCGAGCGCUCCCCGCUGCUCCCUGCCACCCGCUCCCCGAUGGCCGACCCCAGCCCCCGGACAGCCCGCGGCCGCCUGCCCGCCCGCAGGUGGGUGUGCGGCUCCCUCUGUGCCAUUCCCUCACCCGCACGGGGCUCACCCCCACCCCGGCUGUGCUCUCGCCCCACCAGGGACCCCCCGGCCCGAGGGGAGGACGACCAGGACGGCGUGGGGAAGAAGGGGGAGCACCGGGCCACCCGCCGCCUCCUCCCCCAGGUGAGAGCCCCCCGGCCGCAGCAGGAGUGGGCCGGGCUGGAGGGGGCUGCCAUCGCCUUCCCCUCAUCCCCUCCUCUCCCUGCCCAGGAGGAGAGCGCAAAGGGUCCCGGGAGGAGGAAGAGGAAGGUGAAGAUGAGGAAGAAGGGCCCGGGGCAGCCGAGCCUGGCCGAGGAACCGGACAGAGCAGGAGGAGGGGGUGACAGCCGAGCCAGCUCUGCUGUGGGGCUGCUGGCCCCCAACAGGGUUGGGCAGGAGGAGCCUCUGCCCCCCGGGAUGGCUGCCCCCCACCCAGGUGAGAGGGGGCUGUGA